GACGAACGCUGGCGGCGUGCUUAACACAUGCAAGUCGAACGGAAAGGCCCUGCUUUUGUGGGGUGCUCGAGUGGCGAACGGGUGAGUAACACGUGAGUAACCUGCCCUUGACUUUGGGAUAACUUCAGGAAACUGGGGCUAAUACCGGAUAGGAGCUCCUGCUGCAUGGUGGGGGUUGGAAAGUUUCGGCGGUUGGGGAUGGACUCGCGGCUUAUCAGCUUGUUGGUGGGGUAGUGGCUUACCAAGGCUUUGACGGGUAGCCGGCCUGAGAGGGUGACCGGCCACAUUGGGACUGAGAUACGGCCCAGACUCCUACGGGAGGCAGCAGUGGGGAAUAUUGCACAAUGGGCGGAAGCCUGAUGCAGCAACGCCGCGUGCGGGAUGACGGCCUUCGGGUUGUAAACCGCUUUCGCCUGUGACGAAGCGUGAGUGACGGUAAUGGGUAAAGAAGCACCGGCUAACUACGUGCCAGCAGCCGCGGUGAUACGUAGGGUGCGAGCGUUGUCCGGAUUUAUUGGGCGUAAAGGGCUCGUAGGUGGUUGAUCGCGUCGGAAGUGUAAUCUUGGGGCUUAACCCUGAGCGUGCUUUCGAUACGGGUUGACUUGAGGAAGGUAGGGGAGAAUGGAAUUCCUGGUGGAGCGGUGGAAUGCGCAGAUAUCAGGAGGAACACCAGUGGCGAAGGCGGUUCUCUGGGCCUUUCCUGACGCUGAGGAGCGAAAGCGUGGGGAGCGAACAGGCUUAGGUACCCUGGUAGUCCACGCUGUAAACGGUGGGUACUAGGUGUGGGGUCCAUUCCACGGGUUCCGUGCCGUAGCUAACGCUUUAAGUACCCCGCCUGGGGAGUACGGCCGCAAGGCUAAAACUCAAAGGAAUUGACGGGGCCCCGCACAAGCGGCGGAGCAUGCGGAUUAAUUCGAUGCAACGCGUAGAACCUUACCUGGGUUUGACAUGGAUCGGGAGUGCUCAGAGAUGGGUGUGCCUCUUUUGGGGUCGGUUCACAGGUGGUGCAUGCCUGUCGUCAGCUCGUGUCGUGAGAUGUUGGGUUAAGUCCCGCAACGAGCGCAACCCUUGUUCACUGUUGCCAGCACGUUAUGGUGGGGACUCAGUGGAGACCGCCGGGGUCAACUCGGAGGAAGGUGGGGAUGACGUCAAGUCCCCAUGCCCCUUAUGUCCAGGGCUUCACGCAUGCUACAAUGGCUGGUACAGAGAGUGGCGAGCCUGUGAGGGUGAGCGAAUCUCGGAAAGCCGGUCUCAGUUCGGAUUGGGGUCUGCAACUCGACCUCAUGAAGUCGGAGUCGCUAGUAAUCGCAGAUCAGCUACGCUGCGGUGAAUAAAUUCCCGGGGCU
Molecule: ribosomal RNA, 1346 nt
Filed under: uncultured bacterium
Lineage: Bacteria
Description: partial 16S ribosomal RNA
Rfam family: Bacterial small subunit ribosomal RNA
Source: RNAcentral